This 301-nucleotide ribosomal RNA is filed under the name uncultured bacterium. Its description in RNAcentral is "partial 16S ribosomal RNA". It matches the Rfam family "Bacterial small subunit ribosomal RNA", at positions 509 to 809 of the family's 1533-position model. The record is from RNAcentral.
CAGUCGCCGCGGUAAUACGAAGGGGGCUAGCGUUGUUCGGAUUUACUGGGCGUAAAGCGCACGUAGGCGGACUUUUAAGUCAGGGGUGAAAUCCCGGGGCUCAACCCCGGAACUGCCUUUGAUACUGGAAGUCUUGAGUAUGGUAGAGGUGAGUGGAAUUCCGAGUGUAGAGGUGAAAUUCGUAGAUAUUCGGAGGAACACCAGUGGCGAAGGCGGCUCACUGGACCAUUACUGACGCUGAGGUGCGAAAGCGUGGGGAGCAAACAGGAUUAGAUACCCCCGUAGUCCCUGUCUCUUAUAA